This 254-nucleotide ribosomal RNA is filed under the name uncultured bacterium. RNAcentral describes it as "partial 16S ribosomal RNA". It matches the Rfam family "Bacterial small subunit ribosomal RNA", at positions 524 to 777 of the family's 1533-position model. The record is from RNAcentral.
UACGUAGGGUGCGAGCGUUGUCCGGAAUCACUGGGCGUAAAGGGCGCGUAGGUGGCGCGACAAGUCAGUGGUGAAAGUUCGACGCUCAACGUCGAAUCGGCCACUGAUACUGUUGGGCUUGAGCACUGUAGAGGCUAAUGGAAUUCCGGGUGUAGCGGUGGAAUGCGUAGAGAUCCGGAAGAACACCGGUGGCGAAGGCGGUUAGCUGGGCAGUUGCUGACACUGAGGCGCGACAGCGUGGGGAGCAAACAGGG